CUCAGGUAGUGUGUCGAACCAAGUUCCGUGGAGCAGCCAUCUUCGGAACCCCAAUCUCCCUUCGUUCACACGAACCGAGCCCCCUCCUCCGGCUUGCGAUCACUCUGGACAUGGACUUAUUGCCGGCGCCGCACAGCUACUUGUGCCCAGAGGUGGGCUGCCCACCGCCUCUACCACCGACAGCUUCUUUAGUCUACACACUUCAUUUAUUUUAACGAAACUUAAUCUGACGUCCAAAGGAGGCCACUUUGUGAGAACAACUAGAAAUGAUCUUCAUUGAUGACCACGUCCGAUUUCUUAUUGGUUUAAAGGUUUAAAAAAAAAAAAAAAAAAAAAAAAAAAAAAAAAAAAAAAAGCUAACAUUAGCUAGCUAGCUAGUAGCUAGCAUGUUAGCUGUCUAAUAAAAUACUGCCAUUGGAAUUUGAAGACAGUCCGCACAGGACAUGAUGCUUGACAGCAAUACAACCGAAGGAGCAGUCUUGUAAACGCAAUGAAAUAGCACUUUGUAGUUUAGCGGACAGAGGUUCAGCUAACCCUGGUCUGCCCAGCCCCUCUGAUGGAAAUAUCGGUCAAAGGAGAGGGGCUGCAUUGAGCGCGCACUCCCGAUUAAGCGCGUUCUUGAGGCAUUUCCCACAAAAUGGCUGCCAAAACAAACCUAACGCGAGCGCUUCUCUACAACCAGUCCUCGCGACAAAAGUGGUAAUAUUGACGUGAAAAGGUUAAUGCUCAAGUAUACCGGUGUAUGUUGUGAGCAUGCGGAUCCAGAAUAACUUGUAUUUGGCAUCAAGCAGAAACGCAGCUUUGACCAGCAGUUUAAAAUAAAAACGGGAUGUUUUCACUGAAUAUCAUCCCGCAUGAAUCGGAAACGACAGCAAGUCUUGUAUGCUAGACCUGAACUACAUACAUUUGGAAAAUAAAUAAAUAAAUAAUAAAAAGACGUCCUGCGCAGCAGCUGCAUAA
Non-coding RNA from Poecilia reticulata (guppy), 960 nucleotides. NCBI's taxonomy places the organism in Eukaryota, Metazoa, Chordata, Actinopteri, Cyprinodontiformes, Poeciliidae. The record is from RefSeq and is a predicted model, not a curated record.